This 481-nucleotide unclassified non-coding RNA is filed under the name Hawaiian sugarcane H87-4094 yellow leaf phytoplasma. RNAcentral's name for it is "partial contains 16S ribosomal RNA, 16S-23S ribosomal RNA intergenic spacer, and 23S ribosomal RNA". The stretch from base 1 to 189 matches the Rfam family "Bacterial small subunit ribosomal RNA", at positions 1349 to 1533 of the family's 1533-position model. Lineage: Bacteria; Bacillati; Mycoplasmatota; Mollicutes; Acholeplasmatales; Acholeplasmataceae. The record is from RNAcentral.
UCAGCAUGUCGCGGUGAAUACGUUCUCGGGGUUUGUACACACCGCCCGUCAAACCACGAAAGUUGGCAAUACCCAAAGCCGGUGGCCUAACUUCGCAAGAAGAGGGAACCGUCUAAGGUAGGGUCGAUGAUUGGGGUUAAGUCGUAACAAGGUAUCCCUACCGGAAGGUGGGGAUGGAUCACCUCCUUUCUAAGGAAACAAUUAUCAUCUUCAGUUUUGAGAGACUUAAGAAAGUUUUUCAUUGUMACUUGCUUGCAAAUUGUAUUUGCAACAUUUUAAUCUUUUUAAGAUUAAGGGCCUAUAGCUCAGUUGGUUAGAGCACACGCCUGAUAAGCGUGAGGUCGGUGGUUCAAGUCCAUUUAGGCCCACCAUAACCACAAAUAGGCAAAAUCUUAAAAAAGCUCUUUGAAAAGUAGAUAAACGAAGGUUAAAAAAUCAAAGGAACUAAGGGCGCACAGUGGAUGCCUUGGCACUAAGAGCC